AAGGUCUGACUCGCAGCUCUUCCCUCGCCUUCACUUUAACAUGCAGGGAGCCACACGCAAUUCACUGUGACGAAUGAGCGGGAAACCAUGGCAACAGCAGGGAACAUGCGGUUUGCCAUUCUUCAGCUGUACGAUCAGAACGACAGUUUGGCUGACCAGCAGAGUGCUAACGGUGGGCCGGCAGCUUGAUUCAUUGUUGUGAAUCAUCUCUGUAGGUCUAAUGAGCGUGUUCAUUUCAACACCUCCUUAGAACAUGAGAGGGAGUCCGGUACAAGGAGGGGGGAGGGAGGGCUUUCUGUGACUCACACUGGACACGGAGGAGCCGAAAAAGGUAGCUGAAGGUUUCUCUGUCAUCCCCAUCCCGUCACUAUCAGAUUGCUAUGAGGAGAUGUGCUCUGACUCAUGGUGAAGUGUUAACUUAGCAGGUGACUGGAGAGGAAGCUGAAGCAGCAGGACUGAAGAGGAUGGUUGCAGGACAGAAGAAGAUGAAGAAUGCCAAACAGGAACACAGGUAAGGAGUCAGAUGGAGUUCCCAUUGACAAGCAUUAUACGACUGACAGACCGCAACGGUUGGAGUUCAAAAUCAUCAUUUGUGUUCUACUGAAGAAACAAAGUCACCUACAUCUUGGAUGCCCUGGGGGAUGCAGUUGACCCUCAAGAACAAUGACACAAUUUAAACGCUCAAUCAGAAUCCAGCAUUCAUCAACAAGUUUGAAAACACAAACGAUUCUUCCUCCCUAUAAGUUACACUACUAUGUCCGAGGCCAAGUCAGCCUGUCAUUUCACUGCCAUAUAGUCUCAGAAACAGGCGGUGUCUACCUCUUUUUCAAAGAAAGUCCAUUGGCACAUUACAAGGGGGCUUGUUUAGUGGAUAUGUGGGACAACUUGGCCACGCCGUGCCCUGCUGAGCCACACGGAUGUGACUCAGAGUGUAAUAAGCAGCGAAUGAGGGCAUUAAGACUGUGUGACAGUGUUCCAAAGGCCCACUUUACGUCUGACAGGGGGGUGUUAAAGGUCAAGGCCACAUCCAGCGCUGUUAUUCCUCUAAUUUCACUCCCUGUCAGAAUCGCUCUGCUCUCUGUUUGUGUGAAAGGUUUAGGGCAUUUUAUUCAGGCCCAUCAACCUACAAUAUGAAUUGCAUUAUUAACAAAACAUAUAACUUAUACUUAAAGUGCUUACUCAAGUGCAAAUAUAACAUUCAUUAAGGCGAAAUAUGCUAUUAGUGAAGGAAUUAAUCACAAAUUGUGCUUACCCUUGACUUUAUAUUCUGCAAAGAACUGCGUCCUUAAACUGCAUGCAAAUUUGGUAGAGUGUCAGCCAACUUAAAAUCAAUUAUUAAACUCCCAGUAGAGCGCUCACUUCACAAAGAAUUUUCAUGCAGGUUCAUAAGAGCCUUAUAUAUCCUAUUGGUCAUUGGCAAACAUAGUGUAUGAGAAUGAUAUUAUAUAAUACAUUUGCAUAAAAUGACAUGCAGAUAUAGGCCUGUAAUACAUGAAGGCUUUAGAGGUCGAGUGCUGUCAGAGAUGUAGAAGUGAUGCAGGAUUUGUUUGAUAUGAGCUAAAGCUAUGAUAUAUCUGAACAUUUGGGGAAGACUACGUGUAGCUUGACAUGUUAAUAGAGGCCUGCUGUGUCUCAGGAUAAUCUUGUAAGCACUGUUUGUUUUCUGCGUAAUUAAACAGAGUGAGUGUC
Ctenopharyngodon idella (grass carp) is the source of this 1689-nucleotide long non-coding RNA. RefSeq lists it as uncharacterized. The transcript has 4 exons. NCBI's taxonomy places the organism in Eukaryota, Metazoa, Chordata, Actinopteri, Cypriniformes, Xenocyprididae. The record is from RefSeq and is a predicted model, not a curated record.